CUGCCCUUUGUACACACCGCCCGUCGCUACUACCGAUUGAAUGGCUCAGUGAGGCGUCCGGACUGGCCCAGAGAGGUGGGCAACUACCACUCAGGGCCGGAAAGCUCUCCAAACUCGGUCAUUUAGAGGAAGUAAAAGUCGUAACAAGGUCUCCGUUGGUGAACCAGCGGAGGGAUCAUUACCGAGUUUACAACUCCCAAACCCCUGUGAACAUACCACUUGUUGCCUCGGCGGAUCAGCCCGCUCCCGGUAAAACGGGACGGCCCGCCAGAGGACCCCUAAACUCUGUUUCUAUAUGUAACUUCUGAGUAAAACCAUAAAUAAAUCAAAACUUUCAACAACGGAUCUCUUGGUUCUGGCAUCGAUGAAGAACGCAGCAAAAUGCGAUAAGUAAUGUGAAUUGCAGAAUUCAGUGAAUCAUCGAAUCUUUGAACGCACAUUGCGCCCGCCAGUAUUCUGGCGGGCAUGCCUGUUCGAGCGUCAUUUCAACCCUCAAGCACAGCUUGGUGUUGGGACUCGCGUUAAUUCGCGUUCCUCAAAUUGAUUGGCGGUCACGUCGAGCUUCCAUAGCGUAGUAGUAAAACCCUCGUUACUGGUAAUCGUCGCGGCCACGCCGUUAAACCCCAACUUCUGAAUGUUGACCUCGGAUCAGGUAGGAAUACCCGCUGAACUUAAG
This 676-nucleotide ribosomal RNA is filed under the name Fusarium oxysporum. RNAcentral's name for it is "eukaryotic LSU rRNA". The stretch from base 1 to 181 matches the Rfam family "Eukaryotic small subunit ribosomal RNA", at positions 1653 to 1831 of the family's 1831-position model. The record is from RNAcentral. Lineage: Eukaryota; Fungi; Ascomycota; Sordariomycetes; Hypocreales; Nectriaceae.